UACGUAGGGGGCAAGCGUUGUCCGGAAUCAUUGGGCGUAAAGCGCGUGUAGGCGGCUUAGUAAGUCUGCUCUGAAAGCCCGGGGCUCAACCCUGGGAGGCGGGUGGAUACUGCUGAGCUUGAGUCCGGAAGAGGCGAGUGGAAUUCCUGGUGUAGCGGUGAAAUGCGCAGAUAUCAGGAGGAACACCAAUGACGAAGGCAGCUCGCUGGGACGGUACUGACGCUGAGACGCGAAAGCGUGGGGAGCAAACAGG
RNAcentral lists this ribosomal RNA (253 nucleotides) under uncultured bacterium. RNAcentral describes it as "partial 16S ribosomal RNA". It matches the Rfam family "Bacterial small subunit ribosomal RNA", at positions 524 to 776 of the family's 1533-position model. The record is from RNAcentral.